UACAGAGGUCCCAAGCGUUGUUCGGAUUCACUGGGCGUAAAGGGUGCGUAGGCGGUAGGGUAAGUCUGAUGUGAAAGCUCUGGGCCUAACCCAGAAAUUGCAUUGGAAACUAUCCUGCUAGAGUCUCUAAGGGGAGGCUGGAAUUCUCGGUGUAGCAGUGAAAUGCGUAGAUAUCGAGAGGAACACCAGUAGCGAAAGCGAGCCUCUGGGAGAGAACUGACGCUGAGGCACGAAAGCUAGGGGAUCAAACAGG
RNAcentral lists this ribosomal RNA (253 nucleotides) under uncultured bacterium. RNAcentral describes it as "partial 16S ribosomal RNA". It matches the Rfam family "Bacterial small subunit ribosomal RNA", at positions 524 to 776 of the family's 1533-position model. The record is from RNAcentral.